CUUGAGCGAGCCGAGCAUCAGCGGUCGUUCCCCGGCCCGGUCCUGACCGUAGGUCGCGAGCAGGGCCUGGGCCUC
This 75-nucleotide antisense RNA is filed under the name Streptomyces eurocidicus. Its description in RNAcentral is "ASpks sRNA". It matches the Rfam family "ASpks TB sRNA". Lineage: Bacteria; Bacillati; Actinomycetota; Actinomycetes; Kitasatosporales; Streptomycetaceae. The record is from RNAcentral.